UUAAUUGGUGCUCGCUAAAUAUACUAAAAUUAAAAACAAUACACAGUAGAUUAGCAUGGCCUCUGCACAAGGAUGACACACAAAUGUGUGAAACAUUCCAUAUUAAA
Pipistrellus kuhlii (Kuhl's pipistrelle) is the source of this 107-nucleotide small nuclear RNA. The record is from RefSeq and is a predicted model, not a curated record. NCBI's taxonomy places the organism in Eukaryota, Metazoa, Chordata, Mammalia, Chiroptera, Vespertilionidae.